GUUCUAGUAGUUAAAAUAUAACAGUGAUUUUUCAGGUCAUUGGUCUAGGUUAGAUUCCUAGCUUGAAUU
Molecule: transfer RNA, 69 nt
Filed under: Porichthys myriaster (specklefin midshipman)
Lineage: Eukaryota; Metazoa; Chordata; Actinopteri; Batrachoidiformes; Batrachoididae
Description: tRNA-Glu
Rfam family: tRNA
About the family: Transfer RNA (tRNA) molecules are approximately 80 nucleotides in length.
Source: RNAcentral